CUGCCCCAGCCCGCUGUUUCCGGCUUCUCCGACUACCCAGGUCCCUCCCUGGAGCUCUGACGACACAGAGAAGAGAAAGUGGGCUGGAGGAGGAAGAGGAAGAAAGUGGGGCCCUGCCAUCCCACCAGUGGCUGUGAAGAAUGCAGGAGGAAAAGCAGAGAGAAAAGAAUGUUGCAGUCUGGGAACUGCAGGUUGCAACCCAAUAGUGAGUCACGAAAUCAAUCAGAAACAGUUAUUUUCCAUCAACCAGAUUUCCGUUUUGGUGGAAGUUUGUGGACGUUCUACAGGUGUUUGGAAGAACAGCUUACUCAGUGGUGGUUACUACCCAUUCAGUGGCCUGAGCGGUGGAGCUGCAGACCAUUCUUCAGUGGGAGGCGGAGCACUCCAGUCUUCAGUGGGAGGCGGCGCACACUCCAGUCUUCAGUGGGAGGCGGAGCACUCCAGUCUUCAGUGGGAGGCGGCGCACACUCCAGUCUUCAGUGGGGAACUGCUGAAUAGGCACGGAAGGCGCCUACACACCUUCGGACCAGUCUGUUGCCUCAGGCUGAGUAGCAGUGAACUCUGGAGCUGGAGCAGCCCAUUCACCCUGAAAUUCCUCCUUGGUCACAGCCUUCUCAGCUGCUGCCUGCUCUUCUUUUUCAAUCUCUUCAGGAUCUCUGUAGAAGUAGAGAUCCGGCAUGACCUCCCAUGGGUGCUCUCGGGUGAUGGUGCCACGCAUGCGCAGAACUUCCCGGGCGUGCAUCCACAUCAGACCCGCUGAGUGCGCUCCCUUUUUAGGAUCUCAAGUAGAAUAUACGAACUGAGAAAACAGAAGAGUCAAGUACUGCCUGAAGAGUUAGAAAUAUUGAAGAAGAGAGAAAAAAAAAGGUUAUUUUUAAAAUGUUUUCGCCUCUGCUUAAAUAAGCUCUCAUUCCUUAAAAUCAUACUUUUGUAGCAAGUAUUACUAUCCAACUCCACUCAUUGGCCAGAGACCCUUGUGGUGUUAGUGAAAAACUUGCCCCUCGUGUAAAACACUACCUACGCUUGUGAGUUCAUUGGCCAGCGGCCUCAACUCCAAGCUCUAACAAUGUGCAGACAAACUGAAUCUAAAAGGGAAAAAAGAAGUUAUUCAGGCCAAGAACAAGAGGAAAGGUACAUCAGGAAGGGAGUCUAGCAUGUGCAAAAACAUGGAUGCUGUGGGAGCAUGGUACCUCUGGAAAUGGGUGAUAGGUGGCAGUGGGGAACAGCAGAGGAUUUAGGGCAGGUGGGCAAUAUGAUGAGAUUGAGUAGAGAGACUACCCUGGUUGCAGUGUGGAGAAUGGAUUUGAACAGUAAAUCUGAAACCGGGAGAACUGUUCAGAAGGUUAAUAAUAAUGAAGAAGAGUACCAUAUGGAGGAGGAGAAGUGAAGCGUUGUGGAAUCAACCUGGUUAGGAAGAGAAGUAAAGACAAGAGCCAGUGGGAAAGGAAAGAAUAGAAUCAAGGAACUGGAAGUCUCAACCAACCUAAAGAUCAGACUUCCUGGGAGCAAGAGAAGGAAGGAAUUGAAAGGUUGGCAUAUGUAGUCAGAGACAAAGGGGUGAGAUUCCACUGAGCUCCCUUGGGAGGGUGUGGUAGAGGUUGUGGCUAUGGGAGUGAGUGGCUCUGGCAAAAUGGAAGUGAGUCAUUGGAGCUGAAGAGACCAGGGUGCCGCUGGACUACCUGCAUGAACAUUGAAGCCACCUGGGUUUGCUAAAGACCUGAGGUGGCAAGGAAGACAGUGAAUCAGAUGCCAUAGUCUUUCUUCAAGGAGAGUGGGCAAAUGACCGGGACAUCAGUGGAUGGCGGCAAAAGUAAUAACUAACAUUUAAUGAGAGUUUAUGUGUUACUUCAAUUCCUGCUUUUUAAAUCAUCCAAGAACUGCACAUUUUAUCCUACAACAGUACUAUGAAUUAGAACUAUGUGCCCAGUGUGGUGAAGUGAAAGUCGCUCAGUCAUGUCCCACUUUUUGUGACCCCAUGGACUAUACAGUCCAUGGAAUUCUCC
Long non-coding RNA from Capra hircus (goat), 2003 nucleotides. RefSeq lists it as uncharacterized. The record is from RefSeq and is a predicted model, not a curated record. The transcript is spliced from 3 exons. NCBI's taxonomy places the organism in Eukaryota, Metazoa, Chordata, Mammalia, Artiodactyla, Bovidae.